Molecule: long non-coding RNA, 3887 nt
Organism: Rhododendron vialii
Lineage: Eukaryota; Viridiplantae; Streptophyta; Magnoliopsida; Ericales; Ericaceae
Exons: 6
Source: RefSeq, a predicted model, not a curated record
GCGGAGAAAAUGUAAACCAAUUACAGGGGAGAAUAUUUUUCUUUGCUGGGGCUGCAAUCUCAUGGACCACCUUGUUUGCUCCUCUGCGAAUCCAUCUGAACCUGAUAUCCCCUUCUUUGGCAAAAUGUCGGAUGUCCAAGACUUCAGCACUCACCUCCCAUGGAGGGACUAAGAAGUAUUGCUUGUUUAUUAUCAGCUUCUACCUCAACUCCUCUGAUUCCCAGAUUGAUCGCCAUAGCACAAGCUGCUCUGAUUGCUCGAAGUUCACCACUAAGAGUGGAGCUUGCUACUAUCGUACGAGUCAGACCAGCAGAUGGUUCCAGAUGAUCACAGCUUUUGAGAGAGCGGGCGCCGUUUGGCCAAAAUCCCCGCACCCGCAACCAACCCCCCCCCCCCCCCCUUCGUCGUUGCUGGAAUCUGCUUGGAUAUCUCGAAUCUCGACGACUGAUCCCCUUGUGCACUUAAGCUCUCUUCUCUUAUCCGUGAAAACCCAGUGAACCCCAAAAUAGAGCUUUUUAGAGAGAGAGGAGACGAGAAAGAGUAAAUUGAAGGUUUUGAUUCAGAUAAGGGUACAAAAGUUAGAUUUAGAGGAAGCUCUGGUGGUUUAUCUGGCACCGCAGUAAAGAAUCGUGGGUACAACUUCGUUCCCUUUUUCUUCAAUUUGCCUUAGCUAUUUGUGUAUUUAUUCAUAUUUUAAUAAAAUAUGUGUUUCUUAUGCUCCGCCCAUGGCCAGAGGUCUACUUUUGUUUCUUGAAAGUUCCUUUGCCCGUCGUAUAUUUGAGAAUGCUUUGUUUCUUGUACUCGUUAUCGUCGAAUCGUUCAUGUCUAAUCUGAUUAGGGUUUUGUUUUGUGAAACCUGUAAUUCUUUUAGGGUUUUCAUGUGUUUUGUCUCAGACACUUUUUGAUUCGCGAAAGUUGAAAAAUUAGGGUUUUGUUCUUAUUCUUUUUGACAACCAUCGGAAUUUAUCAAAAAUUCAUUAGUGGUUUUUGUUUGGACAUGGGAUUUUUGAACAGGAAAGAUUAGGGUUUUGUGAAGCUAAAUUUUUCCCCUUUAUUGGUUGACAACCAUCGGGAUUUAUCAAAAAUUGUUAGUGGUUUUUGUUUGGACAUUGGAUUUUUCAACAGACUAGGGUUUUGUGAAGCUAAAUUUUUCCUCUUUGUUCGUUGAAGUAGUUGAGUUCUUGAAUUUUCUUGGUGGAUAAUUGUGUGGUUUGUGUACUCUGUUUGUUUGGCAAUUUUUUUUCCUUGCAUACAUUUGACGUGUUCUCUGUUUUUGGUAAAACUAGGAUUUCUAUAUCUUUUGAUGAACUGGGUUUUAUCAAUCCUGGAAUUAUUCUCCCUUGGCUUUUGGUGUUAAUUCUGUUGUUGGGUUUCAGAGUUAAGUUACUAAAGAACAUGCAAUUAGGGUCGUGUUCAACUCUGGGGUUGUAAAUGAAAAAUAAAAAAAAGAGAGAGAAAAUGAUCGGAAAAGAAAAGGAAGUAGAUUUCAUGUUUUCCUUUUUUUCUGUUGGGUAGGUAUAAGUACAUAUGCAUAGUUUGUGUGUCGUUUCAAUUGUUGUUUUGUUGGCUUUGUUAGGGCUAUUUCCACAUUUAUAUUUCUGGGUGAUUGUGAGGUCUUUCUAUAAAUACAAAAAUGUGUGUCCCUCUUCCAAUUUGCCGUCAAUAUGUUACUGGAGUAGUUAUCUAGGUGUAAUUUUAUUACGGCCUUCUUUAGCACCAUGGAUGUUUGAGUUUGGCUGUUGUUACGUUCGUUUGAAUUCCGUUGGACAAGAGUAUCUCCAACGCUUAUGUUUUUGGGCGAUUGUAGGGUCUCUUGAUAAAUACAAAAUGCAUGUUCCUGAUUGAGUUUGUCAUCAACAUGUUGUUCGAGUAGUUAUGCGGAUGUAAUUUCCCUGCUGUGUCCUUAUUUGGAUAGCUAUCAGUUUUUUAUUAAUAAAAUAAAUUGUAUGUGUCAUUUCUAGCUUUGUGUCGUUGACUUGUUUAAGAUAGAAUUACCUUUUACUCUGUUUCCUGUUUUUUUCCCCAUUUAUUCCCAUGGUUUAUUGGUUAGUGUUCAAAGGUUCAGGUGGUUUUAGGGUGUUUAUUUGCCUCUCGACGUAGACCAUGUCUGUGGCUACGCGACUGAUAAGAUUUCGUCGUCUCUUGAUGAUUCAAACCCUAACUGAUCUUCGUCAAAACCAUAAACCAUCAACAAGCUUUUGCUGUUUAUCCCGCUUGUUUUUUGGACUAUAGAAGGUCUAAUUCAAAGGUCUGGAAUCCUCUCUCAGGAACGAAAGUUAUUGUGAAAUCUCUUGCCCUUUCAUAUUCAGGACGGCAUCCAGAAGAAUGAAGCGUCAGAUGUUAUAGCAGAGGGAUUAGAUACACUGGAAAACAUGGCUAAUGACUUGAAUGAGGAGAUAUGACAUUAGUUGAGGGAAAAAGGGCCUCAAUACCCUUCCAGACCAGCAGUUGUCUACCUUCAAUUCCAGGUUGAUAGGGCAACUUCAGACCUUAAAAAUGCUAAUGUGAGACUCAAGGAUACGGUGACAAAGGACUGAUUAGUUGUAUUUGCUUGUCGGAGCUCCAGCUAUAGGUAAGGGAGUUCUUCUCACAGUUUAUUACUCUCUGUUUUUGUUUUGAUAAGUUUUGGACCUUCUGUGUAUUCUGAACUCCUAAAACAACGUAGAUGAGCCACAAUUAUUGCAUUUUUGCUGGAUGUUUUAUCCUCUUAUGUGGUGUUGCCUGUAUUUUCUCUCAGAUACUGUUUUAGUUAAUAUAAUAAAUUUUCAUUGAUUACGGUAUUGGAACCUGAAAAUAUGACAUACUCUCCAUAGUAGGACUUAUGAGUGAACGAGUUCCUUAUUUUUGGUUCAGUUUUGUUGUAGCUUGCGGCCCACAUAAAUCUUUGAAUGGACAAAUUUGAGCUAUGGCUACAGGAAUGCUAAAGGCAAUUGAAGUCUUCAACCAUCCCAUAGGAAAAGAGAAAAAAAAAAAAAAAAAGGUCUGCAAAACCCUACAAAAAUUCCAAUAAGGAAUACAAUGUAUAGGUUUAUUCCUAUGAAUCGAAUUGUUAACUGCAUCAUAUAUUGUGUAGAUGCGGCAGAGCCUUCACAUGAAAUGUCCAAGUGCAAGUUUUAAGAUCUAAUUUAGAGAUUUUAGUUGGAUGUCCGGCAAAGAUAAGUUGUGUUAACAAAGAAUUGCUUUUAUGAUUUUGUACCCAUGAGCACUACAUUCGAAUCGCAUUGGUAAUAACAGACCAAUCUAAUAAUGUAAGAGGUGUAGUGGUUUUUUUUGGUGUGUAAACAACACCAUAGCACUGCUGAAUGAGGUGUAGUUUUUUUUUUUUUUUUAAUCUUGGCCUUUUUGGCUGGUUCACUUUUGAGUAUCCCUUUAACAAAUUUGUUGAUAUAUAUUUACGAGAUUUGUUGACUUUCCAUUUUUAUUGCAAGGUCAUAUGUGGAACUUGCAAUUUGGUCGAUGUGCCUGUACCUGAAGUAAUGUAUUCGGGAAAACUUAUCAAUCAAGCAGUCAUUUUUAAUUAAACCACGAUAAGCAUGAUUGUAACUUGAUUUAGUUUUCUUUUGGCAGGAAAAAACCUUUUUUUCCAAUGACACGCGGUCUGUCUUUCAAAGGGGAUGUAGAUGCAAAAUACUACAAGAAAUUGACAGAACAAUUUCUCACCAAUUACGAGCUUGUGAAGCCUCAUUCAUCGAAAGAGGGAGUAGUGUAAGGUAGCCAUUAUUAGCAGCAGUUAACUUAUUUUCUGAUUAGUGUGGCAAGAAAUAUUUGGUAUUUGAACACUUUAGUUGGCUCACUGUGCAAGAGUAGCAUUAUUCGUCAAUCUGGAAACUGGAAGUACUUGUGCUUAUGCGAAUGAGAUUUAUAGCGAGGGGGUACUAUUUGGCAUA